GGUCUGGCUUCUAAUCCCGAUCUCGCCACUUGUUCUGGGUGUAUGCGGUGACACUGUAAACUGGAGAGAGUGAAGAGAAACUACUCCCUGGAUUUUCUUCCCGUGAUCCAAAGCUGCUGGUAGGAGCUCGGGGGCAGAUUGGAGAAGCGGCUAAUUGCUAAUUGCUGCCAGAAGAGGGCUUUUCAUUCUAAAGG
Molecule: long non-coding RNA, 194 nt
Organism: Ornithorhynchus anatinus (platypus)
Lineage: Eukaryota; Metazoa; Chordata; Mammalia; Monotremata; Ornithorhynchidae
Exons: 3
Source: RefSeq, a predicted model, not a curated record